CUCGCCGCUUCAACUUUAAUUAGGGAUCUGUAACAUAUUUUUUCAUUCAUCAUUUUUCGUAAUUUUGAAUAAAGAUACUUCACCUUUCCUUUUUCCUGACUUACACCUUUAGUCUGAAGUACGUCAGUGUAGUUCGAGAUUAUCGACUCUUUAGAAUUUUUAUUUCAUCAUGCCGAUGUUUUCUUUUGGUCAGUAUCAUCCUUUUCUGAAGAUGUCGAGGUUUAUACAGAAAGUCGAUCUCAUCUCUCCCUGGAGAUAUCGACGUUUGUAAAAAGUCUAUCUCAUCUUUUUCUGAGGAUGUCGAUGUCGUGUGACUUCUGAUUCUAUCCUUUUCUGAAGAUGUCGAAGUUUGUAAAAAAAAAGUCGAUCUCAUUUCUCCCUGAAAAUGUCGACGUUGUACAAAAGUCGAUCUCAUCUUUUCCUGAGGAUGUCGAUCAGAAUAGUGCUGGAAUUUCGAUCCUGUCCUCUUUUGGAAGGUUUCGAAUUCCUUGGUAAAUGUCGACGUCUAUCCCCCUUCUGGGAAUGUCGAUCUGAACUUUCUAUGGAAUGUCGAUCCUGUCCUUCUCUUUUGAAAGCUUCGAAUUCCUUGAUAAAUGUAGACGUCUAUCCCCCUUCUGGGAAUGUCGAUCUGAACUUUCUAUGGAAUGUCGAUCCUGUCCUUCUCUUUUGAAGGCUUCGAAUUCCUUGGUAAAUGUCGACGUCUAUCACCCUUCUGGCAAUGUCGAUCUGAACUUUCUAUGGAAUGUCGAUCCUGUCCUUCUUUUUUGAAGGCUUCGAAUUCCUUGUUAAAUGUCGACGUCUAUCCCCCUUCUGGGAAUGUCGAUCUGAAAUUUCUGUGAAUGUCGAUCCUGUCCUUC
Molecule: long non-coding RNA, 857 nt
Filed under: Zostera marina
Lineage: Eukaryota; Viridiplantae; Streptophyta; Magnoliopsida; Alismatales; Zosteraceae
Description: long non-coding RNA (ZMAR_LNC004925)
Source: RNAcentral